GGCAACGUGCCCGAGUGGUUAUGGGGGUGGCCUGCUAAGCCAUUGGGCUAUGCCCGCGCAGGUUCGAUCCCUGCCGUUGUCG
Cardiosporidium cionae is the source of this 82-nucleotide non-coding RNA. NCBI's taxonomy places the organism in Eukaryota, Apicomplexa, Aconoidasida, Nephromycida. The record is from the annotation of a GenBank genome assembly.